UUUUUCUACUUAAAUCUUAAUGAAAUGGAUUUUUUAUGUUUUUGUAUAAUCUAACAUCACCUUUAGUUGGCAGGAAUAGCUAUUCUAUUCUUAUGAAACUAUCCUUGCAUUUGGUAACAAAAUUAACCUGUAAUAUCAACUUCUGGCAGAUAUUUAUUCCCUCUUAAUCCUUUUACCUUUUACCUAAUCCUUUUAUUUACCCAAGAAUACUAUAGUGCUUUGUGAUAAGUUGUAAUUGAUCUCUUCAAAAGCAAGUUUCUGGUUGUAGAGAUAUUUUGGUUGUUUAAUCCCAUUUCUGUUACAUUCACAAUUCAUGCAAAUCAAACCUACAAGUGGUAAGGCAAAGUUCAAUACAUAUUCCUACUCUAUUCCUAUUUCAUUUCAUUCCCAAGAAUAACUAUUCAAUUCCUUAUUAAUUCUAUCCUGCUAACCAAGGGGUUUCAAUGAGGUAAUUUUCAUGGUAAAUUUAAUUGAUGGGUGUCCUUGUACUUCAAGAGCAUAGCCCUGCGUAACUGUUCAACACUUUCACUGUAUGUCAGGGUAUCAUAUUGCUUGUAAUAGAAAAGCUACUAAGCAGGUAACUAAAAUGUUUGACAUUUUUAAUUAAAAGAUUGCUACAUUCCUGUAUUUGUUUGCUGUCAGCAAAUACCUGCAGGUGGUUAAGUACAGUUCGCUACCCCGCCCAUACUUCCAGAUUAUUUUUUCUUCUUAAGAAACAAACCUAAAAUGAAUUACUGAUGCUAGGAAAAGAUGCACUUUGCAUAAAUUUAUGACAUGAGUGCACACUGGAAUUUAUUUCAUUUUUUAUGAAUCUUACUCUUUGUUUUUGUUGCAGCCUGGUUUGUUUGGCUUGGUGGCAACAGUGAACUAUAAGAUUGAUCAGCAACCAUAUCAGAAUGUUUUCUAUAAUGGUACAAUUGAAGUUGUUGAAACUGGAUCAUUUAUAAGCAUUGGGUCGGUUUUCCUUGUGACCCUUGGAGUUGCUCUUCUCAUCUUCCUGGAAUUGUAGGCAUAUGGUCAAAUUCAACCGUUCUCAGAGCUUCCGAACCUGGACCAAGGUGGUUGAACCGGUCACCACCUCCAGUUGUGAUUUUUGCGUUGCACAGGCCUAAAGUUCUGUUCAAUUGGAGUGCCUUUAUUAAUCCAACUAGCAACCUCCAUUCAAAUUUAAAUGGUUGAACUGGCUGGUCUAGAGCCAUUUUUGAAGACAGGUUACAUACUAAUCCUGAAAGAGUGUGCUAGAAAAGUUUGCUUUCUGCAGUAUCCUCAUCACAGUAUGCUAACUCAUGUUCAUAACAAGAAUACAAGAUCAGUAGGUCUAUCGGAUCCAUGGGCAAGAAGACUUGCAAUUGUAUUCUUGAUCAAUUACUUCUUUCUAUGCUAUUUGCAAACAUGUUUUCCGCAAAAUGAGUUCAGGCCUGAUAUUAUGUACAAAGACAUAACCAGUUUAGAAAGGAAAAUGAAUUGCAAUUUCUUCGUCGAAGAGGUCUAUCCUGAACGUGGUUUGCCAUCUAAUAAGAAGAGAAUCUUCUGUCCCUCUAUGAUAGAUACUUUGAUGUUCUUAUUUCCUGUGAUCUGUUUAUGCUUUUAACAUUAAAACUCAUUUGGAGAGUGCAAUUUCCAGGUUUUAGCAUAACUUUCUCUAAAUAUGCUCAUUCUGGUUUAUAUUGAUACCUUACUAGCCUUUUUUUUCGCUCUCCAGAGAACAAAGAGAUCGCAUAUGGAUGAGUGCUUGCAGGAUGAUUAUGAUGGAAGAUUCAUCAUUAAGAAGAUUCUAUCAAAGUUUUGCUAGUGUUUGAUCUGAUCAAGACUUUUGUCAAUUGUGCAAUCUAUAAGGAAUAAAUUGUAGUUGAAAUCUAUUAUGGCAGAUGACUA
This is a long non-coding RNA of Zingiber officinale, 1875 nucleotides long. RefSeq lists it as uncharacterized. Lineage: Eukaryota; Viridiplantae; Streptophyta; Magnoliopsida; Zingiberales; Zingiberaceae. The transcript is spliced from 3 exons. The record is from RefSeq and is a predicted model, not a curated record.